RNAcentral lists this long non-coding RNA (1293 nucleotides) under Ananas comosus (pineapple). RNAcentral describes it as "long non-coding RNA (ACOM_LNC025804)". The record is from RNAcentral. Lineage: Eukaryota; Viridiplantae; Streptophyta; Magnoliopsida; Poales; Bromeliaceae.
UCGAUAGAUACUAUUUGAAAAUUAACAGAGUAAUAGCAAAGUAUCGGCCAUGAGGAGAUGAGCAGUGGUGGAGAAUGGAGUGGUGGAGAAGGGAGUGACGGAAAGGGGGCCGAUAGAGAGAGGUGUGGCAAAAGAGGGAUUGACCAAGAGUGGGGACGGAGGUGGGGAUGAGAGGGCGGUAGAGGAGGUGGCUGCGGGUGGGAUCUUGCGAAGAGGGCCUCACAGAGGAUAGGGCGGCAUAGCAUGUUGGAGAGGUCGCUAGCAGAGGAGAGACGGACGGAUUAUGGGCUUGGGUUGGAGGAGAAGGGAGAGAGACAUAAUAGACAGGUUGGGGGAGGGAGCAGGAAAGAAAAUCUAAUUUUAGAGUUUUAAGUGAAUUUUAUUUUAACUCUAACUUUGCCCAUAAGUUAAUUAAUUACACUCUACUUUUUAAGUGCCAUUUUAAAUUAUUUAAACGCCUCGUAAUAAAAAUUUUCAAUAGUAUAGCUUAAUUAUAUUAUUUUAUUAUUAUGUAUUUAAAUGACAUUUGAAUAUUAAAAUUAAGAGUGUGAUAUAAAGCAUACAUUAAAAAAAAAAAAAGAAAAUCAUAUUUAUUUCUAGAUUUAGACCACUAAGUUAGAAUAUAGCUUAAUUAUAUUAUUUUAUUAUGAUGUAUUUAAAUGACAUUUGAAUAUUAAAAUUAAGAGUGUGAUAUAAAGCAUACAUUAAAAAAAAAGAAAAGAUAAUCAUCUUUAUUUCUAGAUUUAGACCACUAAGUUAGGAUUUUUUUAGAUAAAGUGACAAAAUCUAUUUAACAUAAUGUGUGUUUUUAUUAAAAAAAAAUCCGAUUGACUUAAAAGGGUUAGUGGCUCAAUAAAUUAAACUAAAAAAUUAAGAAUAUUAUUUUAAUUGUAAAAAAUUAAGAAUAUUAUUUUAUAUCAAAUAAAAUUUAUGGGAUAAAAUUUAUACAUAUAUUAUAAAGCAUAUUCGUAGUAUUGCACAUCAAUACAUAUAUUAAAAGCCCAGUUCUACUGUGGCUUACGUGGCGCUUUCUCGGCGCCCCCAGUUUCUCCAAAGCCUCCCCGCGUUUCGCGGGGGCUUCGGGGGACCCNACUCUGUCCGCGGUACAGGGGAAACCCUGUCCGUUCGGCGGUCUGUUGGCGUGCCCGAAUCCCACCAAAGAGGCGGGCUCGGGGCGUGACAUCGCUAGCAGAGGAGAGACGGACGGAUUAUGGGCUUGGGUUGGAGGAGAAGGGAGAGAGACAUAAUAGACAGGUUGGGGGAGGGAGCAGGAAAGAAAAUCUAAUUUUAGAG